ACGGUGUUCUGGGAGGAGUUACGCAGGCAGGGUUGUGGUUGCUGGCUGUUACCAGGACAACCGGAGGCGAUUGACCGUUAUCUGCGGUUUGGAGCCGUUAGCGGGAGAGGCAGAGAUAUUCAGAGUCUUAAGGUGAAAUGAAGUGUGGCCCAGUGGCUCCUCACUGUCGCUUCUCUAGUUUUCUGCCUCCUUUUAGAAAAUUGAAUUGAAAAGACAGGAUGAAGUGGACACAGCAUGUGAAGACAAUUCUUUCAAGAAGUUUGGCUGUCAAGGAAAACAGAGAAUGUGCUAAAGAACAUACAGACACAGAGCAGACAGGCCACCUUUGCAACCACAUGGAGGUUUGUCUGAUAUUGAAGCUAAAGAAGCUAAGCUGGAAGACAGAGAGACCAAGUCCUGAUGACAUUGUUUGAACCCAGAGAUCCAGACAUGCCUGAAAACUAGUUUUACCACUGGACUUAUCCGUUGAAUGAGCCAAUAAACUCUCUUUUAUAC
Molecule: long non-coding RNA, 495 nt
Filed under: Homo sapiens (human)
Lineage: Eukaryota; Metazoa; Chordata; Mammalia; Primates; Hominidae
Description: HSALNT0368594
Source: RNAcentral